AUCAGGAACGAGACGACCAGCAUGAUGACGGCAAUCGCCGUCGCAUCCGCGUAACGAAACUCCGACAGCCGGAUCACGAUCAGCAGCGGCGCGAUUUCCGAGACGUUCGGCAGGUUGCCGGCGAUGAAGAUGACAGAGCCGUACUCGCCGACGGCCCGCGCGAACGCCAGCGCAAAGCCGGUGAGGAUCGCCGGCGUCAGGCUUGGCAGGAUCACGCGCCGGAUAAUGU
Molecule: unclassified non-coding RNA, 229 nt
Filed under: Hevea brasiliensis (rubber tree)
Lineage: Eukaryota; Viridiplantae; Streptophyta; Magnoliopsida; Malpighiales; Euphorbiaceae
Source: RNAcentral